Molecule: ribosomal RNA, 468 nt
Filed under: uncultured bacterium
Lineage: Bacteria
Description: partial 16S ribosomal RNA
Rfam family: Bacterial small subunit ribosomal RNA
Source: RNAcentral
GACGAACGCUGGCGGCGUGCUUAACACAUGCAAGUCGAACGGAAAGGCCCUGCUUUUGUGGGGUGCUCGAGUGGCGAACGGGUGCGUAACACGUGAGUAACCUGCCCUUGACUUUGGGAUAACUUCAGGAAACUGGGGCUAAUACCGGAUAGGAGCUCCUGCUGCAUGGUGGGGGUUGGAACGUUUCGGCGGUUGGGGAUGGACUCGCGGCUUAUCAGCUUGUUGGUGGGGUAGUGGCUUACCAAGGCUUUGACGGGUAGCCGGCCUGAGAGGGUGACCGGCCACAUUGGGACUGAGAUACGGCCCAGACUCCUACGGGAGGCAGCAGUGGGGAAUAUUGCACAAUGGGCGGAAGCCUGAUGCAGCAACGCCGCGUGCGGGAUGACGGCCUUCGGGUUGUAAACCGCUUUCGCCUGUGACGAAGCGUGAGUGACGGUAAUGGGUAAAGAAGCACCGGCUAACUACGUG